Molecule: long non-coding RNA, 1406 nt
Organism: Cyprinus carpio (common carp)
Lineage: Eukaryota; Metazoa; Chordata; Actinopteri; Cypriniformes; Cyprinidae
Source: Ensembl
GGAAUUCUCAAUACGGAAUGGAGCGAAAGUGUUUUUGUUGAUUGUGCAAAAUGCUGAUCUUGUAUAGCAUGAUGUCUGUGAGGGUGUUUUACAUCAAGGCUGAUCUAUGUGGGAAAUGAUCGUGCUGUGCUUAAGUCUGUACUUGGCAAGCAAACACACAAUAUGUUCAUGUGAUUUUGAGCCCACUCGAUCUUUGCUCUCCAAGGUGUGUGUGAGGGAAAGCAGAGGAUCAGUCGAGUGGUAUUACAGGAUUUUUAAUCAACACAUUUCUAAAUCUCAGGAUUUCAACUUUGCCAUUUUGAGCUUUUUUCCACAACCCCAGAAGAAGUCAGGGACUCACCCAUGAUCUGCUUAAAGUAUCAGGACAUCAAUAGCUCAGCAUCAGAGGAUCUUGGGUGCAGGCGGGGAGAGUUCAGCCGUAAACACUAUGGAUCAGUUGAACUGGUGAGGACUGUCAUAUUAUAACUUAUGUACUUCCCUUUUUCUAAUCUAUUUUUCUCCACCUGUGGACUGCUGUAAAAGGAGUAGCUAUGUGUUUCUGUUUGAUUUCUUAUAUAUGUCUGCAGUUCUGUCUGUUUUAUCAGAUGAGAUUUGAACAUCUUUGUAAUUGCAUUUCUCACUUAAACAUCAUCUCACCCUAAACCCAGGAUCUUUGGAAGCAUAGUUACGUAGGCACAAGUAUAGCAUCAUUUAUAUGAUUCAGAGAAUUUUGCCUGGUCAAACGCACGUGUUGUAUUGAGUGGGUGUGGCUGUAUUUAUUUCAGCGGUGUCUGUCUCUUCCAGAUAGUUGUUGGACGGAGGAAGUGGCUAAAUACUAGAUGCUACUUCCCAUGUGAAAUGUGCAGAAGGUUUGUGGGUAGAAAGAAAUGUGUGACCUUGUGUCAGAUAGAACCAUGUCACAAAACCACAUGUGCUAUCAUGCAUGACAGAUGGAGAAUAUAAAUGUGUGUAUAUGACUGCAUGUGUCUGUAUGAGAAAAGGAGCGAGAAGGGCAUUUGUUACUGCAUGUGCCAUUGUUCUUAGGUAUCUAAAGCUACCGUGUGAGACCCGUAAUGAAAAUGAAUUUAUUUUUAUUGCAAAUUAUAUUUUCAGAAAAUGUUUAGAAAAGUGUACAUGAAUUGUAUAGAAGUUCAAAAAUCAAUGUAAUCUUGUUCUUUUCAGGGGUACUUGAUUCUGAUUGGUCAAUCGUAGCAUUCAGCAGUCUGAUAUUUCUGAAUAAUGACCAUUGUUUGUGAUUGUAUUCUGUUUCUCUACAGUUUCUACAAGGCAUCUUAAAUCAAUAUUUCAAAACAAUUUCAUGUCCAAAUAUUAAUUUAUCUUUGAAGCAGCCAUAUACAGAAUAAUUAGCAUGAGUAUUCAUAAAGCCAUUACCAAAAAAAUAAACAUGGAAAGGCCAACCCUGGACA